This 163-nucleotide ribosomal RNA is filed under the name uncultured bacterium. Its description in RNAcentral is "partial 16S ribosomal RNA". It matches the Rfam family "Bacterial small subunit ribosomal RNA", at positions 1328 to 1500 of the family's 1533-position model. The record is from RNAcentral.
GGAGUUGCUAGUAAUCGCGGAUCAGAAUGCCGCGGUGAAUGCGUUCCCGGGUCUUGUACACACCGCCCGUCACACCACGGAAGUUGGGGGUGCCCAAAGUUGGCAGGAUAAUAUGUUACCUAAGGCAAAACCGAUGACUGGGGUGAAGUCGUAACAAGGUAGC